AAUGUCGAAGAACUGUUGCAUGCAUCUUCGCCGAAUUAGAUCCAUGCGUGUCAAUCGAAAGAGAAGCCGGAUACAAUAAUCAAAGUUGUCCAAAUAUGAAGAAUGAAAGGAGCUGGAAUCUGAGUUUGUUGUAACAUGGGCAAGAAUUUGAUUUCGAUGCGUGGCCAAGAACCAAACUAUCAAGUUGAUAUCGGGUAUAAAGAAGACUCACUUGAAGUUUCAAACCUGUCUUUUACAUCUUGACAUCACGGAGCAGAG
This is a long non-coding RNA of Arabidopsis lyrata subsp. lyrata, 258 nucleotides long. RefSeq lists it as uncharacterized. Lineage: Eukaryota; Viridiplantae; Streptophyta; Magnoliopsida; Brassicales; Brassicaceae. The transcript has 3 exons. The record is from RefSeq and is a predicted model, not a curated record.